UACGUAGGGCGCAAGCGUUAUCCGGAAUUAUUGGGCGUAAAGGGCUCGUAGGCGGUUUGUCACGUCGGGAGUGAAAACUCGGGGCUUAACCCCGAGCCUGCUUCCGAUACGGGCAGACUAGAGGUAUGCAGGGGAGAACGGAAUUCCUGGUGUAGCGGUGAAAUGCGUAGAUAUCGGGAGGAACACCAGUGGCGAAGGCGACUUCCUGGCCUGUUCUUGACGCUGAGGCGCGAAAGCUAGGGUAGCAAACGGG
Molecule: ribosomal RNA, 253 nt
Filed under: uncultured bacterium
Lineage: Bacteria
Description: partial 16S ribosomal RNA
Rfam family: Bacterial small subunit ribosomal RNA
Source: RNAcentral